This 845-nucleotide long non-coding RNA is filed under the name Heterocephalus glaber (naked mole-rat). RNAcentral describes it as "lncRNA (ENSHGLG00000031686.2)". Lineage: Eukaryota; Metazoa; Chordata; Mammalia; Rodentia; Bathyergidae. The record is from RNAcentral.
AGGGGUGGUUCUUGAGGCAGGAGUUUGAUUUGGAUGAGACUGAGCUGAGUGGUGCUGGAGGGAGGAGACAAGCGAGCAGCCCUAGCAGCUGCAAGGGGGAGAAUCCAGCGCUGCUCGGCUCAGAGGCCUCCCCUUGACGCCCUCCUGGGGGUCCCGCACAGCCCCCUGCUUUUAGGGGUGCAGCUUGAGGACUUGUCAGCCCCUAACUUCCAGAAACUACUGUCCGUCCGGCUGGCGGGUGACAGCCGGGAAGUCUUGCGACAUGGAUGGGGGAAGGGCUCCCCAGGGUCAGCGCCACUACCCGGCCCCCGGAGCCUCUCCCCCAGCGCAUCUCCGAGCUUGAGUCACCAGCCCCUGGGCCUCACGGCCCUGCAUCUCAGCCACAGACUUGGAGACUCCCUGAUGUCCACGGCAGAGCUGGCUGGGGACGAUGGAGUGAAGAAGCCAGGCUUUGGCUCUGGGGGAGGCCUGAGGUUCAGCCACACAGAGCACCGUCCUGUGCACCUGCUGCUUCCUGGGAUGCCGGCACCGCGGGUCUCUCCACUGAGGCAAAGCGCUGGGGACAGCAGGGAGCCCCACGGGUCUGCUCUCCAAGGACCCUCCAGAGGUCCUCCUCUGUCGCUGUCCACUACCCUCCCCGGGGCGCACUCAGAGGUCGACGUGGAGGUGGAACCCGGCUGGACCCUGAGAGGCAGGGGCACCUGGGCCUUCCCUCCCCAGGCAGGCGGCAGGGCCUGGGCUGUCACUGGAUGCUCCGGGUGGGCCAGCGGGGAGGUGGCCGACCAUCGGGCAGCGGAUCUUUCACACCAUCUCUCUGGACCUGCAAACAUUCUCGAUAACGCCAG